Molecule: ribosomal RNA, 408 nt
Filed under: Triticum aestivum (bread wheat)
Lineage: Eukaryota; Viridiplantae; Streptophyta; Magnoliopsida; Poales; Poaceae
Description: partial small subunit ribosomal RNA
Source: RNAcentral
AUGCCGGACGACUCGAACCGCCUCGUUCCGGCUGGUUCCGGCCGAUUCCAUCGCCAGGAACCCCCCCUGUGUCUUCCUCUCCAUCGCCAUGGGCCUGCUGUUGUUUCUGUUCUUCAGAAACGAGAGCAGCAGCGGCUCCCUCAUCCUUGUGCGUUGACCCGCUCCAGCGCCAGCUCCCCUGCAUCGCUCGUCCCCUGCAUCGCGUGUGUGGCCUCUCGUGGCAGAUCGCCAAGGCCCACCGCGCCUCUGCCUAGCCGGCCUGCCCGGCCUCCUCCCACCGACCGGGCCUUGGCCCAUGUUGCAGGUACAGGUUGCGAUGAUCAUGACGCGAGAGCGAUGCUUGCUUGCGUUGAGUUCUUCUUCUGCUUCUUCUUCGAUCAGGGGAUACGUUCCAGGUCGGCCGCCUAG